Long non-coding RNA from Musca domestica (house fly), 492 nucleotides. RefSeq lists it as uncharacterized. The transcript is spliced from 2 exons. NCBI's taxonomy places the organism in Eukaryota, Metazoa, Arthropoda, Insecta, Diptera, Muscidae. The record is from RefSeq and is a predicted model, not a curated record.
GAUAUAUUCAAAUAUUUAUUGACCGCAUCAUGGCAUGUCAGUCACACAAAUCGAGUGGAAGAACGAAGCAACAAUAUUCUUUUCCUUUGUUGUCUCUCAACCUAUUCUAGUGGUAGCAUUCCGCUACUCCUCCUCCUGCUUGCACCACACCUACGGUUAGAGAAAAUUGCAAGCAUACGCAAACUUCUUUGGGGCAUGGGUUUCUUCUUGUCAAUAUGUUUGUUGUCGUUGUUGUUUGUUAUGCCGGUAUGUCGAAAAUGAUCAUCAUAUUGGCGUUAAUGAAUGAAAAUUUGCUGCCUGGAUGGUUGGUUGGUUGGUAAUCGACGGCGGACGUCAAAUAUUUGUAUAUGGCAAAUGUUCGCAAACACUUCAUUUCUCGUUGGCUCGGCCUUGCAGUUUGCAGAAUUUGCAAUUUACAAAUGUUUGUUUGGAAAAGGAGAAGAAAACACCAACAACAACAAAAAUAAAUACAAACAAAUGCAGACAGACAAA